GAAGUUGGUCAGGCAAUCGCUCCGAUUCAUAUCGGGGAGGAAAGUCCGAACUCCGCAGGGCAGGGUGCUCCGUAACGCGGAGACUCCCGGUAUCCCGGGAGAUGGAAAGUGCCACAGAAACGAUACCGUCCCGAUGAAUAUCGGGAUAAGGGUGAAAUGGUGCGUCCCGCAAUUAAGCGGGAUUAAAGUAAAAGCGCACCGUCCCGGCCGCGAGGUCGGGAGCCGGGUAAACCCCACCUGGAGCAAGAUCAAGCAGGAAAUUGGAAUGGCCCGUUCCGCUAAAUUUCCGGGUAGAUCGCUUAAUCCCGGCUGUAAAGUCGCGGAUAGAUAAAUGAUUGCCAUCCCGAUGUAUCGGGAGACAGAAUUCGGCUUAUCGGCCAGCUUCAGAU
RNAcentral lists this RNase P RNA (389 nucleotides) under Fidelibacterota bacterium. RNAcentral's name for it is "Candidatus Marinimicrobia bacterium RNase P RNA component class A". It matches the Rfam family "Bacterial RNase P class A". Rfam says of the family: Ribonuclease P (RNase P) is a ubiquitous endoribonuclease, found in archaea, bacteria and eukarya as well as chloroplasts and mitochondria. Its best characterised activity is the generation of mature 5'-ends of tRNAs by cleaving the 5'-leader elements of precursor-tRNAs. Cellular RNase Ps are ribonucleoproteins. Lineage: Bacteria; Pseudomonadati; Fidelibacterota. The record is from RNAcentral.